AAAGAAGGGGUGCCCGCUGGGUCUUGUGCCCAAGGCGGCUGAGAGGAGCUUCGAGCUUAAACCCUUUGCCCACAGGGCAGGAACCUGAUCCGGAUAAUACCGGCGUAGGGAGCAUUU
Molecule: non-coding RNA, 117 nt
Filed under: uncultured Acutalibacter sp.
Lineage: Bacteria; Bacillati; Bacillota; Clostridia; Eubacteriales; Acutalibacteraceae
Source: RNAcentral